AGAGUUUGAUCAUGGCUCAGAUUGAACGCUGGCGGCAUGCCUUACACAUGCAAGUCGAACGGUAACGCGGGGCAACCUGGCGACGAGUGGCGAACGGGUGAGUAAUGCAUCGGAACGUGCCCAGUAGUGGGGGAUAGCCCGGCGAAAGCCGGAUUAAUACCGCAUACGACCUAAGGGUGAAAGCGGGGGAUCGCAAGACCUCGCGCUAUUGGAGCGGCCGAUGUCAGAUUAGCUUGUUGGUGGGGUAAAAGCCUACCAAGGCGACGAUCCUUAGCUGGUCUGAGAGGAUGAUCAGCCACACUGGGACUGAGACACGGCCCAGACUCCUACGGGAGGCAGCAGUGGGGAAUAUUGGACAAUGGGCGAAAGCCUGAUCCAGCAAUGCCGCGUGAGUGAUGAAGGCCUUAGGGUUGUAAAGCUCUUUUACCCGGGAUGAUAAUGACAGUACCGGGAGAAUAAGCUCCGGCUAACUCCGUGCCAGCAGCCGCGGUAAUAC
This 496-nucleotide ribosomal RNA is filed under the name uncultured bacterium. RNAcentral's name for it is "bacterial SSU rRNA". It matches the Rfam family "Bacterial small subunit ribosomal RNA", at positions 8 to 526 of the family's 1533-position model. The record is from RNAcentral.